Molecule: ribosomal RNA, 467 nt
Filed under: uncultured bacterium
Lineage: Bacteria
Description: partial 16S ribosomal RNA
Rfam family: Bacterial small subunit ribosomal RNA
Source: RNAcentral
GAUGAACGCUGGCGGCGUGCUUAACACAUGCAAGUCGAACGGUGAAGGCGGAGCUUGCUCUGCUGGAUCAGUGGCGAACGGGUGAGUAACACGUGAGCAAUCUGCCCCUGACUCUGGGAUAAGCGCUGGAAACGGCGUCUAAUACUGGAUACGAGCUGCGAAGGCAUCUUCAGCAGCUGGAAAGAACUUCGGUCAGGGAUGAGCUCGCGGCCUAUCAGCUUGUUGGUGAGGUAACGGCUCACCAAGGCGUCGACGGGUAGCCGGCCUGAGAGGGUGACCGGCCACACUGGGACUGAGACACGGCCCAGACUCCUACGGGAGGCAGCAGUGGGAAUAUUGCACAAUGGGCGAAAGCCUGAUGCAGCAACGCCGCGUGAGGGACGACGGCCUUCGGGUUGUAAACCUCUUUUAGCAGGGAAGAAGCGAAAGUGACGGUACCUGCAGAAAAAGCGCCGGCUAACUACGUG